AAAAAGGGAAAUUUGAAGUCAUUAUCACAAUAUAUUGUGCCAUCAUGGCCAAAAUGAUAAUCAGGAUUAUUGUGAUCACCAUUAAGGUCACAACUUUUCAUUGUGAUUAUGGUACAAAAUAUCUUUAUUGCACAUCAUGAUAAACAGCUGUUUACAUGGUGUGCUACAUUUCUGCUAAUGAAUAUCUCAUUAUACUGAAAUACCAAUAUCAAAGGAGGUCCCAGGAAGUCAGUCCAUCUCUCACAGGCAAAGUAUAAACAAGACGACAUGGUCAUCAAUAUCCCCCGCCACAUAUGAUGUCUAUGAGUCUAUAUCCAAAAUAGUGAUAAAGGGCCAUAACUCUGUUAAAUAUUAUCGCACAGGUCUCAUUUUUGAGCUUGAUCAAGGUGUCCAUGGUGUGAAGCUACACUCUAAAUUUCGUAGUCCUAGCUGUAAUAGUUUCCGAGAAAAGCUGUCCCCUUCAUCUGGCACGGACGGACGGACGGACGGACGGACGGACGGACGGACGGAGGCCAAACCUAUAUCCCCCUUUUCCACUUCGUGGAGGUGGGGGAUAAUAAGUCUAACUUCCUGAACAUAUUUUAACUGAUAGACCCUGUGAUUUACCAGUGU
This is a long non-coding RNA of Acanthochromis polyacanthus (spiny chromis), 612 nucleotides long. RefSeq lists it as uncharacterized. The record is from RefSeq and is a predicted model, not a curated record. The transcript has 2 exons. Lineage: Eukaryota; Metazoa; Chordata; Actinopteri; Pomacentridae.